Molecule: long non-coding RNA, 232 nt
Filed under: Setaria italica (foxtail millet)
Lineage: Eukaryota; Viridiplantae; Streptophyta; Magnoliopsida; Poales; Poaceae
Description: long non-coding RNA (SITA_LNC002319)
Source: RNAcentral
CAAAAAGAAAAAAUAUACAAAAAAAGGAAAAAUAAAAAAUGAGAACAAGAAAAAGAGAAAUCAAGUACUCCUCAGUUCUUUGAGCUUCAUAAAAGUCCCCGGUGCUUUCAAGAUUAAGGAUUAUUCCAUACUCAUUUUUCCAACCAUGUGCAAUCCGAUUACAAGAACUUCAUCUAUGUCUCAUGAUCACCCUUUGCCCUUGCACAUGUCCACUAUCUAAAUGUGUGUGUUC